RNAcentral lists this long non-coding RNA (1010 nucleotides) under Callithrix jacchus (white-tufted-ear marmoset). RNAcentral describes it as "lncRNA (ENSCJAG00000080519.1)". The record is from RNAcentral. Lineage: Eukaryota; Metazoa; Chordata; Mammalia; Primates; Cebidae.
ACAUUAGAACUCUUCUGGCAGAAGCCCCCUGGUGGCUGGAGUGAGAGUCUCUGAGGCUGGAGUGAGAGUCUCUUGGGCUGCCUGGAGGAGGAGGCACGGCACCUGAGCAGCUGCUGUGUUUGGAGUGUGGCUGGAAGGCAGAGACCUAGACGGGGGUAGGCCUCACACCUAGUGUCACUUAGUGUCCAGGCUGCCCUGUCGACAAGACAAUGCUCCAGUUCAUUUCCAAGGCUCUUGCCUUCUUCAGGAGGAAGACUGUUUCGGCUGCAGAGAGGGUACAGCAACUGAAGCUCUUGGAAGGUGGCAGCUGUUUAAAAACUGCAGGGAGUUGUGACAAGGUUCGGUAGCUUGAUUGAUGAUUUGAUUUAUGUCAGUAGUGAUGCUGUGACUGGAAGUGUACUUCUGAAAGUUGGUCAAAAAGUUACUGCAGUUGUGGAAGAAGAUAAAACAUCUCAUAGAUUGAAAGCAAUCAAAGUAAGAAUUGUAUGAGUUUGGGGACGUCUUUGUUCCUUGGGUGUGGGUACUAUUCAGCCUCUCUGAGAUGACAUGGUAUAGCGGAUGAAGAGUGGAAUUUGAAGUCUAACUUACUGGAUUGUAUGGGACAUUUGUUUUUGUCUUUGUAGUGGCUUCUGUUGAGAGAAAAGUAUAAAUUCCAUAUCUAUUUUUUCAGCAUUUAAAAAUGUUAUUAACAAUGAUAACUAUUAGAGUCUAUACUAUCCUGCAGCUUCCUUUUUUAAUACAAGUAACUGCCUUCUGCCUUUGCUGAAGUGCAAUUGCUAGGUGAAAAGACAGACAUUUUAGUCAUGAAAAAAUAGCUUUAUUGAAGUAUAAUUUACCCGUACACAAGAUCCUCAAAUUUUAAUAAUAUAGCUCAGUGACAUUUUUAGUAAAUUGACAGAGCUGUACAACCUUCAUCUCAGCCCAGAUAUUAACCAUUUUAAUGAAUACACUAAAAUGAUGCUUCGGCUUUAUUGUACUUAUUGACACCAUCAGGAGUAGGCUGCAAGACU